Struthio camelus australis is the source of this 1743-nucleotide long non-coding RNA. The record is from Ensembl. Lineage: Eukaryota; Metazoa; Chordata; Aves; Struthioniformes; Struthionidae.
UUUUUUUAGGGAGAAACCAGGCUGAUUUGGUUAAGGGGGGGGCCACAAUAAUUUAGUGGUGGGGUCCAUCGCCAUGGUGGGGACAGGGGAUCCCCGGUGACACCGGAGGGGGUGGCAGUGGCUCUGCAGGGACAGGGACGAGGGCGCUGCGGUGUCGAGGACGAAGGAUCUCUGGUGACGCCGACGAAGGAGCUGCGGUGACGAAGAUGAUGGAGGACGAAGGAGCCGUGGUGACAAUGGUUCUCCGGUGACCGCAAUGGUGAAGGACGAGGAGUCUCCGGUGACAGUGACAACUGAGGAGCUACGAUGCUUCUUGGGUGACGAGGACGAAGGCUCUCCAUGAUGAGGGACAAGGGCUCUCUGGUGACAUUGGAGGAGGACGCGGCGCUCCAGUGACAACGAUGACGGACAAGGACGAGGGCUCUCCGGUGACACUGGAAAAGGACGAAGAAGAGGGUUCUCCGGUGAUGAUGAUGGACGACGGCUCUCCGGUGACGCUAGAGAAGAACAAGGAAGAGGGCUCUCCGGCGACGCCGGAGAAGGACGAGGGCUCUCCGGCGACGAAGACAACGGAAGGACGAGGGCUCUCCGGCGACGCCGGACAGGAAAGGGAGGGCUCUGCGGCGGCUUUCAAGCCUCCUCUUCGGCCUCUUCACCGAAGUCCUCCUCUUCCUCGGCCGUGGCGUCCUGGUACUGCUGGUACUCGGAGACCAGGUCGUUCAUGUUGCUCUCGGCCUCGGUGAACUCCAUCUCGUCCAUGCCCUCGCCCGUGUACCAGUGAAGGAAGGCCUUGCGGCGAAACAUGGCUGUGAACUGCUCCGAGAUGCGCUUGAAGAGCUCCUGGAUGGCCGUGCUGUUGCCGAUGAAGGUGACGGCCAUCUUCAAGCCCCGGGGCGGGAUGUCGCACACAGCCGUCUUCACGUUGUUGGGGAUCCACUCGACGAAGUAGGAGCUGUUCUUGUUCUGCACGUUGAGCAUCUGUUCGUCCACCUCCUUCAUGGACAUGCGGCCCCGGAAGACGGCGGCCACCGUGAGGUAGCGCCCGUGUCGAGGGUCGCAGGCGGCCAUCAUGUUCUUGGCGUCGAAGACCUGCUGGGUGAGCUCGGGGACGGUGAGGGCCCGGUACUGCUGGCUGCCGCGUGACGUCAAGGGGGCGAAGCCGGGCAUGAAGAAGUGGAGACGAGGGAAGGGCACCAUGUUGACCGCCAGCUUGCGCAGGUCGGCGUUGAGCUGCCCGGGGAAGCGGAGGCAGGUGGUGACGCCGCUCAUGGUGGCCGACACCAGGUGGUUGAGGUCUCCGUAGGUGGGAGUGGUCAGCUUGAGGGUACGGAAGCAGAUGUCAUAGAGGGCUUCGUUGUCGAUGCAGUAGGUCUCGUCCGUGUUCUCCACCAGCUGGUGCACCGACAGCGUGGCGUUGUAGGGUUCCACCACCGUGUCCGAGACCUUGGGUGAAGGCACCACGCUGAAGGUGUUCAUGAUGCGGUCGGGAUACUCCUCGCGGAUCUUGGAGAUGAGCAGGGUGCCCAUGCCCGAGCCGGUGCCACCACCCAGCGAGUGGGUCAGCUGGAAGCCCUGCAGGCAGUCGCAGCUCUCCGCCUCUUUGCGCACCACGUCCAGCACCGAGUCCACCAGCUCCGCCCCCUCCGUGUAGUGGCCCUUGGCCCAGUUGUUGCCGGCGCCGCUCUGGCCUGGUGGUGGGUUGGGGACACGGGUUAGGACCGGGCCGUGGGGACGCCCGGGGAG